AAUAAGCGAGUGGGGAAGAGCCAGCCCCACGCCGGUCCGCCUCCCGCCCGCUGCCGGGCCUCCCUCCCGCCUGCCCGCCGCCUGGCUCGGAGAUCCUUCGCCCAGAGUUCUCCAUUCCCAGGAUCCCGGGCUCGCGGGGGUGCGGAGAAGAGGACCCAGGAAAGGUUUGGGAACGUGAUGGGUUUGGGGCCUGGGGGGAGGGGCCGGUUUCUCGCCACCCCAUCCUCUCCCUGCUGGGAGCUGUGCUCCACCAGCCUCUGGCUGGAUCCUUAGCUCCCUUUCUCUACCUCGGACAUUCCCGGGACAAUUAAGGCUGAAGUUUUCGGGAGAAGCGCCCCGUGCCCGUGGGAUAAGGGGGCGGCUCGGCUCCGCCCAGGACCCCUCCCGAACCUCCCCCCAGCCGCCCCGGUUGGCUGCAGGGCGCGUCACUCCGCGGGGAGGCGGCGGCCACCGUGGCGCCGCCAAGCCCCGGGCGGGUGGAGAGCAGGGACCUGCCCGGUUCCGAGUUCAGCCUUGGCAGGAGGGAGGGGAGGGGCGCCUCUAAUCCAGUGCUGGGCAGCGCGCCCCCGGCCAGGGAGGUGCAGUUGAAGCCGAACCCUAGGCACCGCCUCUACCCAGGACCCCUUUGCUCUCUACCCUAGCCGCCUCCUCGUCUGCGACGAGGUGGCUUCCCUAAGCCCAGGAGUGAGUGAGAGGGGAGGGGGUCCUAUCAGCUGCCCCCUAGUUACGCCGCAACUCGCCUUCAAUUUUUCGACACUUGCCACGCGCGGUGCCCAAACUUUUCGCUCCGUCUCCAUCUCCCAGGGGGGGGGGGAUAACAGCCUCCCUUACCCGAGUUUGGGACCCAGGAAUCCGGGCCCUGCUCUCCCUCUUCCGUGCUUAGGCGCCCGCGAAUCUAGGUCUGGUCCUGAGCUUAGUCUAUAUCUCCUCCCGCCUCGGGGUUUCCGCUAGCCGAGGUUCCCGAAGUCUUGCGCCUGAAGGACUAAACUAACUAAACUUCGGCUGAGUAAUGGGGGUGGAGGCGGGGGAGGGGUGCAGAUACUCAAUCCUUGCCCUAUCUCGCGAUCGGGAGAGGAGAGGGCUCAUAAGGACGCCCCAAUUCUGGAGCGCCUUUGAGUCUGGAUCGAGCCACAGUCGGCUCGCGCGAAGUGGGCACCAGCCUUCGCGGCAGAGCCUUUUAGAGCCUCAGAAUUCAGUACCCAUAUCGCACUCUCCUAAAUGGCCUUUUUUCUUCUCCGAUUUUUUUCUUUUUCCCUUAAUUUUUUUUUGUGUUAAAGUAUCUUUCUCAUCUGCUGUCUUUAGUCUUAGUAUAACUUCUCCCUUCUUUCAAUCUCCCUGUUCACUCUUCCUACCUCUUCUUAGUUUUGCCCUUGCUCGCCCACCCCUCGCGCGUCUCCCGCUCUCCUCUGUCGCAUCUCGCUCUUCGCCUCUCCACAGUUUCUGUUGGGUACUGUAGAUUUUGAUAAAAAGACAAACGAAGCUAUCAGUGGGUCUGAUGUUGAAGAAUGAAGAUAAUAAUGUUUCCAUAGGUGGUGUUUCAAAUGCCAUUAUUUCUCACUGAAUAUUUAAAGAGAUCCCUCGGCAAAGAUGGAUUUGUGCGCUCCUGGGGUGUGAGCCUCUCACUUGCCCCAAACCCCCGGGAACGUGAUCAGACCUGAGCAUUUUUAAACCCAGCACUCGCCCCCACCCCGUAAACCGGCGCUCUUGAAAACACACCAUCGCGCACCCUCCAGGGUGCACCGACGUUUCCAGGCGCACUUGCGCCGGUGUUUGGAUCCCUCCUGAGCAGUCUGUAACAUUCUUGCCUUCUUGAAAGUCCCGACCUCCGGGCAAUCCAGUGGCCAGAAACCCAGUGGAGCUGGAGGUCCUACAAACCCUUCUCAUGGUGUGCUACUCGGGAAGAUCCAGGGAGAAGCUUCACACGUGCUCUCUGUUGGCUCUAUGUGUGAUUAAGAGUGGGGGGACGCCCCACACAAAUAACGAACGAAAACGCAAAAACUGCUUCACUCCGUUUAAUUAAAAAUGGGCGAGCGGAGACGAAUUAAUUGGGGGUAUCUAAACUUUUAUAACUUUUUUCGUUUUUUUGAGUCCUCGACGACAUAGAGGCGGGCGCCUGACUCUACGAGCGGCAUCCCCCGCUAAUUUCUUGUUUGUUUUCUUUCCCUUUGGCCGGGAGAGAGAUGAGAGGAGGUGGAGGAGGGGGAUGGGAGGAAGGGGACGGUUGAAAUGGCCGGGAGAGGAGAAUUGGUCUUUAUUGUUGGUGGCGAUACAUCAAUUACAGGCCAUUGUCUCGAGCCCAAGUUACGCGGUUCGCUGGUGCGGUCGCCAAAGUGUCAGCAAGCUGGCAAGGCCCCGCGUGCCGCGGAGCAAAGACAUAAUUAAAUCAAUAAAAAUGGACAUAGAGUGAGGGUUAAUUUUUAUUUUUGAACCGGUCGAGAAAGCGAAGGCCAGUGAAGUGCCACAGCUGGGGUCCCUCCGACCGCUCAGCACACCUCCAGGCCAGAGCACUCUAUGGGGGUCCUGCCCUCCCAACCGCGGAUGGGGGCUGCUUCUGGGAAAUACGGCGAAGAGGUUGUGGCUUGGAGGUUCCUCAGGAAGGCCUGAUAUUUGGGGAUAGACACCCAAUAGGGAAUGUCAGUGGUCCGAAGUGAAGUGACAGCUGCGCAGGGGUCGCGACCUCUUGGACCAAGACGAAACGCACCCUGGGGAGGCGCUUAGCAGUUGUGCAAACUGCCUUGGGAGGGGGGGGGUCUCUGUUCCUUCCACUGUAUCACCUCAGUUUCCCGAUGUCUAGUUUGUCCUCAGUGAGUUGGCUGACCCGAGGGCCGUGGCCUAAAGCCGCUGCCACAGCCUAGUUCCCAAGGAAGGGAUUUCCGUGUAUCGUUUUGUUUUUAGGACGGGGUGGUGGCAUGAAGUCCUUUCAUUCCGAGGCCUGGUUCUUCUGUCGGUAAAGUUUUCUAAUUAUGGCCCAGUCCGACCCCGGUGUGGGAUGGGACCUGAGUUGAGGCCUUGUGUGGGCCCCUGACUCUCGGGUUCCAUCGAUGCAGGUUGAACACUACACCCGAAGUGGAGAUGGUUCCUAAGCGCGUUGGCUAUGCCCCAGCUUCCGAAAUCUCCAGUCCAAGGCCCCAGGCCGGGACUACCAGAGCAGUAGAGGAGGUUUCGUUUUCCUGCGCCGGGCAAAAAGCGGCAAAAAGGCGGCAGCGGCGCCCUGGGGGCGGGGAGCAAGCGCGUCGAUGGUAUCAACAUUAUUGAUGAGAAAACGUUCAGGGCAGGAGCCGGGAGAUCAGGUUCCCAGUCCCUCCCCUCCCCGGAGGUGGGUGGGGCCAAGUGGGUGGUGAGCUUGUUGUGCAUGGAGUGUGUGUGUCUCUGUGUCUGUGUGUGUUUGGGGAUGGGGCGGCUGGAUGCAUCACCAUUAACCACCUGGGGUUUAUUUGUGUUUUUCUUGCCUGGAUGCCUGCCGGGUGGGAGUGGGAGGAAGAGGGAAGAAAGAUUGAGGUGGUUUGUUCUUCUGCCCUUAAGGUUCUUUUCUGGAUUUGGGGUUUGGGGUUGUUGGUGGUGAUGAUGACAUAAGACAAAAUACAAACUUGGAAAGCAUUCCGUAGGUUCGGCCUUUUUCCAAACUUGAAACUGCGCUGUCCUGGGAAUUUCACAGACUCUUUUCUUAAGCGAACUGCUGUAGUUCAAAUACUAACCUCCUCUAAGAUCUUGGCGCAGCUUCGAACCCGAGGCCUUGGGAGAGCGAACUGUGUGCUCUGCCCAGCAGCUCACUCCUGGCGAAGUGGAGAAGGACACAGAUUGGGGGUGGGGGGACAAACCCCUGAUCACCCGCAAGGACCUUUUCUAGACUUGUGUUCCUGCGGCGCGAAGACAAGACGCCCAGGUGCUGGUUCUAGAAGGAAAUUCAGUCGCGUGCAACGGAGGCAGGAUUCCACCCGGGCAGUGGAUCCCAGAGCAUGGAAAACUUCGUCUUCCUCUCCUUAGAAGGUCCAAUCAGACCGUCAGCCUCUUCGAACCUGCAUUUCUAAAUGGCAUACUGGUGCCUUCUAGAUCCAACUCCAGCGGCAGCCACAAUACGCUUCUCUUCAAGCUAACAUCUAGCUUAAUAAGCAGCAGGGAAUUUGAGAUAGAUACUUCCACUCCCCACCUCCAAACCUGAGCCGCCUUGCUUUCUCUCAGGAGAGAUUUCUGAAACCAUCCACGUUCCAAAGGCAAAGUGAAGAAGGAGCUCUUGUCUUUUUUUCUCCCCUCACAGGAUGCCAUUCUGAUCUCUGUCUGACUUUACCAUUUCCCUAACUUGCCCUAGACCGUUUGGCAUAUUUUGUAUUAAAAUACAAUCCCAAGAGGAUCGCCCCCCUGAA
Arvicola amphibius (Eurasian water vole) is the source of this 4361-nucleotide long non-coding RNA. RefSeq lists it as uncharacterized. The record is from RefSeq and is a predicted model, not a curated record. The transcript is spliced from 2 exons. Lineage: Eukaryota; Metazoa; Chordata; Mammalia; Rodentia; Cricetidae.